GUUUGUAUUGCAGCCUUGUAAGAGAACCCGUCGACAUUCCUCAGGCCAGAGGGGCACCUUCAGAAGUCACAUCUCGCUAUAACAGACAGGGCUUUAGGUUGACAUCGAAGGCCUAAUCGUUUCUCAUGGCGAUAAGCCGAAAGCACCACCGAUCAGCCAGCAGAGGUCGGAAUUGCAGCAGUUAUGAGGAAUCUCUUUCAGCAACCCCAAGCUUCAGACAAGCCAUUCAUUGUCUGUAUAGGCGCCCGGCCUGAGGAUGAUGUAAAUGCGGCCCAUCUGGACAAAUUUCAUCUAAACAUAAGUUAACCAGGCUGCACGUCUUUGAACUGUGGGAGGAAACCGGAGCUCCUGGAAGAAACCGACACAGAGACGGGGAGAACAUGCAAACUCCACACAGAAAGGACCCAGACCGCUCCAUCUGACAAUCAAACCCAGGAAAUUCUUGCUGCGAGGUGACAGUGCUACCCACUGAGCCACCGUGCCGGUGCCACCCAGCAUAUUUACAAAAAACCUACAAAAGAACCUAAAUUUUUGAGGUCCUGUACACCAGCAUACGUUAAAGCUCCUAUAAUGGGGAUCAAGAAUGCAUGUUAACAUCAGUGAGUUAUUUUCAGGAAAUGAGGACACACUCGCCCCUCUCUGUAUCUUUCCCAGCUCUUACUUUGUCAGCAGCAUAACAAUGACACUUCACCUCACUAGGGGGUCAGGACAGCAGGACUUCAGAGAGACAUAAUACCCCAAAAAUAUUCUGAGAGACUGUUAAUAAAGUUUUUAUUUAAUCAA
Long non-coding RNA from Trichomycterus rosablanca, 783 nucleotides. RefSeq lists it as uncharacterized. The record is from RefSeq and is a predicted model, not a curated record. The transcript has 4 exons. Lineage: Eukaryota; Metazoa; Chordata; Actinopteri; Siluriformes; Trichomycteridae.